UAACGCAUCACAAUGGACACUCGUGACAUCACACGUGUGAAACCAGGCCCCCUUUGACUUUCACUCUUUGUCAGUAUUUUUACUGCUGGUGUCUCCCCAGAUAUAUAACCCAUCACUAUAAACUCAAGCAUCCAACUUCUCAAUCUUCCAACAGCGAAGUGGGGUCAGAACAUUGAAUGCGGAAGUCAGUGACAGCCAAGAAAGAGAAUGGGUUUAAGAGUCAACAAGACAUCAAGCAAGAGACAACAGACAGUGUGGAUGAAGGGGGUGGGGCCCGUCGUUUCAAACGGAAUCAGUACAAGAGAAGAUCCACCAAGGUGGGUUCCUGGGUAAAAGAAAUCUUGAACUCAGGGAUGGAUCUGGAUAAAAGCGUCUGAAGAAAAUCUUGGCAUCUAAGAAGAAAUACACCUCCGCUUUGAAAAGGAUGCCUGAUAACAACCGUGUCUAUCGCAAGAUCCGCCGCAUGAUCCGGAGACUGCUGUGGCCAGUUUCUGUCACGUCUUUCACCAUCUUGAUGUUCUGCUUGGCGCCAUAGUCCUGGCUGUGAGAACCCCCUGAGACUGCCCUUCACAAUUCCUGAAUAAAACGUGCCUAACAACACACCAAGCAAAACACAUUUGGAAGUAAUUCAUCCUUUGGUUUCAUGUUAACUAGUCUGGUAACACCUAAAAUGUCUCCAAUUACUUUGCAUUUACAUAGUGACUACAUCUGAGCGUGAAUAGAAUUAUUAUGUUAUUAUUCAUAGUUACAAUGUACUUAAGGUGUACAUCUUUUUGCA
Long non-coding RNA from Polyodon spathula (Mississippi paddlefish), 778 nucleotides. RefSeq lists it as uncharacterized. The transcript has 3 exons. NCBI's taxonomy places the organism in Eukaryota, Metazoa, Chordata, Actinopteri, Acipenseriformes, Polyodontidae. The record is from RefSeq and is a predicted model, not a curated record.